RNAcentral lists this ribosomal RNA (506 nucleotides) under uncultured bacterium. RNAcentral describes it as "partial 16S ribosomal RNA". It matches the Rfam family "Bacterial small subunit ribosomal RNA", at positions 29 to 523 of the family's 1533-position model. The record is from RNAcentral.
AGUGAACGCCGGCGGUAGGCCUAACACAUGCAAGUCGAACGGCAGCACAGGAGAGCUUGCUCUCUGGGUGGCGAGUGGCGGACGGGUGAGGAAUACAUCGGAAUCUACUCUGUCGUGGGGGAUAACGUAGGGAAACUUACGCUAAUACCGCAUACGACCUACGGGUGAAAGCAGGGGACCUUCGGGCCUUGCGCGAUUGAAUGAGCCGAUGUCGGAUUAGCUAGUUGGCGGGGUAAAGGCCCACCAAGGCGACGAUCCGUAGCUGCUCUGGGAGGAUGAUCGGCCCCACUGGAACUGAGACACGGUCCAGGAUCCUACGGGAGGCAGCAGUGGGGAAUAUUGGACAAUGGGCGCAAGCCUGAUCCAGCCAUACCGCGUGGGUGAAGAAGGCCUUCGGGUUGUAAAGCCCUUUUGUUGGGAAAGAAGUCCAGCUGGCUAAUACCCGGUUGGGAUGACGGUACCCAAAGAAUAAGCACCGGCUAACUUCGUGCCAGCAGCCGCCGUAA